ACUGGUCAAAUAUCCGUGAAACAUUCAUCGAACGCUGUUUACAUAGGUUAUAUCACUCUGCAAAAAUCAAUACAAAAGUAUUAAUAAACUUUGAUAAUGUGGCAGUUGACCUCAAUUCAAUCGACACUGUUUAUUUUCCAGUACAGGUAAAUCCAAUAUUUGCUUUACAAUAGAUCUAUGACGGAUUAUCUUUGAACACCCCUGGUCUUAUUGGACUCAACUGCCACAUUAUCAAAGUUUAUUAGUAGAUCCUCUGGGGUUUUUUUUAACAUUUAAAAUCUAUUGAAGCAUGUUUCAUAACAAAAUGUUAAUCGAAAUAAAUUACGUAUGUAUUAAAUGGUAUUAUGUUAGGCAUAAUAUCUUUACUUUAUUUAUUCUCUAACAGAUGAAAAAAAAAUCAAACCACUUUGUACUUUUGAAGUACGUGUACAUAUAUGGCGUUCUUUUUCAGCUCGGGAUGAGUAAAAUGUCUGCCACACCACUUGUAGUACUGGCACUUGUGUUGGCCCUGGCAAUAGGGGGAGUGGCGCAAUGUGAUCCUCCUCCCGGAAGGACAAACGGUUGCAGCCCUAAAUGGUUAUAUUACCCCUAUAAAUACUUUUUCAGGCCAGAGUGUAAUAAACAUGUUGUCUGCUAUGCCUGUGGCAACCGCAAUUGGAUGUCCAGAGAAGUAUGUGAUGACAUAUUUCUCGACAACCUCGAAUCGCGCUGCAGAACAGACCCAGAAGAGAGGGACGACCCAGAUAAAUGUCUUAGGUGGUCGGAAAUAAUUUAUAACGCUGUUCGUGAUCAUGGUGAAGGUCACUAUGAAAUCCCAUCGCUAGACUGGUGCGGUGAAGACUGGGUUGAUGGUUGCCUAUAAAAUGUAUUUACGGCUUCGCUAAAGAUUUGAUGUUACCCUUGCUAUCAGUUUAACAUUAAUUACCUUCCUGUAGACGAGCAUUUAUAUAGCAACUGUAACCAUACGAGACCAUCAACACGAACAAUUUUGUUGCAAACCUGAACAUUCACAUUACUGAAUUCUUAAAUACUUGAAACUUGUGUUGCAUAUCUAAUAUAUAUACUAUUAGGUUAUUUAAUAUUGUUCUGUACAAUACGGAGAUAUAUUUGGACGAGUACCCAGCUGAGAAAACCAUAUGGUUUUGGUUUUCUCAGCUGGGUACGAGUCCAAAUAUAUCUCGUAUUGUACAGUACAAUGUAAAAUAACCUUUUUAUUCUAUAUCUAUUUUAUCUAGUUUAAAUUAAAAAUGUUUCACUGAAUAUUGUAUUCCUGUCUUUUCUGUAUUUUCCCAGCUUGGUAUGAGUGCAAAUAUAUAUUAUACAGAACAAUGUUAGGCCCUAAAUAACCUUUUUUUAUUCUAUAUUUAUUUCACUUCAUACGUAAUAUACGUAAUUCAUUGAAUGUUGUUUUUCUGCUUAUCAGUAUUAACUAAAUUACCUGUAUAUGGUGCAACCUCGCUACAACAGCCAUUUGGCGAUCUGGGUGGUUAUAAUACUUGGCUGAGAUAUUACGCCCACAAACAUUGUCAGCAAGUUUGGUGAAGAUCCGAUGAAAACUGAAUUAGAGCGGACAUGUUUUGGAUGCCGACCGCCCGCCCGCUGCCACGGGUGUUCACAUUAUACGCCGAGAUAUUAUGCCCACAAACAUUGUCAGGAAGUUUGGUGAAGAUCGGAUAAAAAAUGUUGGAUUUAGAGAGCGGACAAGGCUAAAUUGGCAGUUUUCCUGUACGGAUUGUCUAGAGGUCCGGUUACCAGACCCCUAGCCACUGCCAUUCAAAAUUUUCUCAACCUGUGACAAAAUAAUAGAUUUUUCCAAUCAAUAAGACUUUCUUCCAAUUAUAUCUGUAUAGAUCUAUAUCUAUAUAAUUUAUAUUUUGGAAUACCUGUUCUUCUUCUUCUGAAACUUGUUCUAAAUCAGAUAGCAUUGCCAUCACUUGAAUGGUUUUUGUGUGUUGUAAACAAACAAACGACAAUUAAAUCCUGAUUUCAAGAUGAUAAUCAAACUCUGUACAUAGAGCGCCUAAUUCAUCUGAUUUACAUUCGGAACAUUUUCACGCGUUUCAGGCUUUAUCGUAUGUUUAACAUGGGACUGUUGAACCGUCCAAAUACAGAAAAUACAUGAUUUUUUGUACGCACGUGCGUCCAAAUACCGUAAUAUAUUGUACGGUCACGUGUUGCAAAUGAACGUUCGUGAUUGGAUAGAUAAAAUAGAUAUAGAAUAAUAUUGGGUCUUUCUUUUGUCUUUUGAAGACCCAAUAAAUACCUAGAACAAAAGAAAAAAAACAUAAUAAGUAGGUAGAGACCCAACUUUUACAAAAUGAAUAUUAUUGUAGACCCAACAAGUUAGAAAAAAAUGGGUCUAGACAUAUAUAUAUAUAUAGUUUGUUGUCACAAAAUUAUUUUGAUAACGGUAGAAGUCAAAGAAAGCUCUGCUUUGUCAUGUUUAUUAGAGUACUUCCUUAGUAGAUACACAAACGAUGUUUAGUUAUAUUUGUAUAUCUAUAUGACUGUAACAGUUUUGAUUGUUAAUACAAAUACAUGUAGUUCGUAAUUUGUACAAAGUCAUACACUUAAUAACUAAUGGUUUGAUAAAAAGUAAUAAAAUAUAUAUACAACUGUAA
Long non-coding RNA from Mercenaria mercenaria, 2621 nucleotides. RefSeq lists it as uncharacterized. The record is from RefSeq and is a predicted model, not a curated record. NCBI's taxonomy places the organism in Eukaryota, Metazoa, Mollusca, Bivalvia, Venerida, Veneridae. The transcript has 2 exons.